GCCAGCUAACCCACCGCUCCCCGUCCACAGAACCGCCGUCCCUCAGUAUACCUGCCGACCCGAGAAUACCCGUCAGAGCAGAGUGAGUACUGGAGGGCUUCGCCUCCACACAACUAGAAAGGGCCCAUGGAGGGUAAGGGGUGAUCCUGGAGACAGCCCACUGUACCUAAGGCAGCAGACACUGGCUCUCCUCAGCCUGGACUGCCUUGCCCUCUCCUGCUAUCUGCAUAUCAGGAUUAUAAGCCGGGGCUACCCUAGCACAGCAGCACAUGAAACGGGCGAGGUGAGCCCACCUGCUAUCCCAGCUCUGGGUGCUGAGGCAGCAGGACCAGAGGUUGAAAUGUGAGUUUAGAUUCCUGGAGCUGUGUGAGAGCCAGGAGCCUUGACUGAGGUCUGUGGUGGGAAUCUGUCCCCACCAGGCAGUCUAGGGUCAGCCAGCCUCCUGCAGCAGAGAAUGAGGGCUCAACAAGGCCAGGGCCAGGCCAGCACCCAAGGUUGAUCUCUGGC
This 507-nucleotide long non-coding RNA is filed under the name Rattus norvegicus (Norway rat). RNAcentral describes it as "long non-coding RNA NONRATT011381". The record is from RNAcentral. Lineage: Eukaryota; Metazoa; Chordata; Mammalia; Rodentia; Muridae.